UUCCGGUUGAUCCUGCCGGACCUGACUGCUAUUGGAGUGGGACUAAGUCACGCUAGUCAAAGGUGCGGAAUGGAGCACCUGGCGUACGGCUCAGUAACACGUAGUCAACCUGCCCUAAGGACGAGGACAACCACGGGAAACUGUGGAUAAUACUCGAUAAGAAAUUUGGCCUGGAACGGUAUCUUUCACAAAACCGGCUCGCCGUGAGACACGGGCCUUAGGAUGGGGCUGCGGUCGAUUAUGCUAGAUGGCGGUGUAAAGGACCACCAUGGCUAUGAUCGGUAUGGGCGAUGGAAGUCGGAGCCCAGAGUCGGCUACUGAGACAAGGAGCCGAGCUUUACGAAGCUUAGCGGUCGCGAAAACUCGCCAAUGCACGAAAGUGUGAGUGGGCUACUCCAAGUGUCAUUCUUACGGAUGACUGUCGCUCAGUCUUACCAGCUGAGAAAGGAAGGAGAGGGCAAGGCUGGUGCCAGCCGCCGCGGUAAAACCAGCUCUUCGAGUGGUCAGGACGAAUAUUGGGUCUAAAGCGCUCGUAGCCGGACAAGUAGGUUCUUGGUUAAACCCGACAGCAUAACUGUUGGCCUGCUGGGAAUACCGCUAGUCUUGGAAGCGGGAGAGGACAGAGGUAGUCAUGGGGCAGGGGUGAAAUCCAGUGAUCCCAUGGCGACCACCGAUGGCGAAGGCAUCUGUCUGGAACGUAUUCGACGGUGAGGGGCGAAAGCUAGGGGAGCGACCCGGAUUAGAUACCCGGUUAGUCCUAGCCGUAAACGAUGCGGACUAGGUGUUACAGCGGCCAAGAGCCACUGUAGUGCCACAGCGAAGGCGUUAAGUCCGCCACCUGGGGAGUACGGAUGCAAGUCUGAAACCUAAACGCAAUUGACGGGGGGCGUCACGUCAGGAGUGAUGCACUGCGGAUAUACUGGAUCACGCGGGA
RNAcentral lists this ribosomal RNA (934 nucleotides) under uncultured archaeon. Its description in RNAcentral is "bacterial SSU rRNA". It matches the Rfam family "Archaeal small subunit ribosomal RNA", at positions 1 to 922 of the family's 1478-position model. The record is from RNAcentral.